Molecule: long non-coding RNA, 5225 nt
Organism: Rhineura floridana
Lineage: Eukaryota; Metazoa; Chordata; Lepidosauria; Squamata; Rhineuridae
Exons: 3
Source: RefSeq, a predicted model, not a curated record
CCUUUGUGGGCAACACUGGGUGCUCCCAUGCCCGUAAAAAAAUUCAUUGACUCAAACUGCUUGCUGAAGUUUAGACUUUCAGUAACCUCUUCCCUCUGCAAGGGUGGGGGACCUAUUAAAAUGGUCCGCCCCCAGAGACUAAUGGAUCCUGAAGGUUUUCAAAGGGCUCUGGGGGAUUUUCCGGCUGAUAGGACUGGCGCUCCUGCUGAAGCCCUGGUCGCUCUGUGGAAUAAGGAGAUGACCCGGGCUGUAAACACGAUUGCUCCUGCACGCCCUCUCCUGUGUAGAGCUCAUACAGCUCCAUGGUAUACUCCGGAGCUGAGAGCGAUGAAGCAAGAUAGGAGGCGGCUUGAGUGCAGAUGGAGACGAACUCCCGACGGAUACAAUUAUACGCUGGAUCUAAUGGGAUGAAGGGUGCUCUAGAAAUAGUCAUCCAAAAAGGAAGAAUGCAAGUUUUACAGCUCAGCAAAUAUUUCUAAAAGAGGUCUUAUGAAGCAAACAUCCUGGACUUUGUUCACAAGCCACUACAGCAUGGAUAGAUAACCACCAGCACGACAAUAUCUCCAUCAAAAGCAGCUGUGUAAAUUGGAGGUCUGUUGAUGCUGGGGGCUGGUGUUGACGUUUGUGGACUGUUAUGGACCAGUUUUCAGGAUUAAUUGUCAAGCUGGUAUGAAAUCUUCUCAACCAAUGUCUGUCGUAACGAAUCGCCCCCGUGCAGAAAUUUGCUCUAAACUUGCACUACAUUCCACUAGAAUUCCGGAGCUAGCCUGUACAUCGCACGAAAGAGCAAAUAUAAUGCGCAAAUUACUAGGUAAGAAAUCCUCAGAAUAAUGGAAUAAAGUGCAGUGUGAAAGCAGCCUUAAUUACUUAUCGCCUAUGUGUCCUGUUCUUCCCCCCAAGGAGCUGUGGUUAUAUUGUGGUUAUAUAUCCUUUUUUAAAAAUCCUCCCAACAAUCCUGUGAUGUUGGUUAAUCUGAGAUAGACUGGUCGGCCUGAGGAGACUCUGAGUGGGGAUUUGGAAAUGGAAAGAACAGACAGAACCAGUAACAAAAGCAAAGGGAAAGGAGGCCUCAGAGGUACACUGAGGAAGUGUGGAAGGCUAUUACUGUUAGGGGUGGCUCAAGAGGGUGUGUGGAGGCAGUAGCAUCCUCUCAGUGCUGACAGUGCUGCCCUUGUCAGGACGGGAGAUAUGGGUGGUGGUGGUGGUAGUGAGGUUGGGGGUACUCCAGGUAGGUGGCACAUCUGCAGAGACCCUGAUGCCAAUCCAGAGUUCCUCUGAGUGCACUGCCAUCCCGUCUCCCCUCCCUCUCUUCCGUCCCAAUGAGCACUGUCAUUAACCUGUUUUAUAUGUUUUUUGUAUGUUCUUAAUGUUUUAAAUGUUUUUAAUUGUUUUAAAUACAUCAUGAGAAGACAUGACUCGCUAGAAAAGACAAUAAUGCUGGGAAAAACAGAAGGGAGUAGAAAAAGAGGAAGGCCAAACAAGAGAUGGAUUGAUUCCAUAAAGGAAGCCACAGACCUGAACUUACAGGGUGACUCAUGACAGAUCCUCUUGGAGGUCGCUGAUUCAUAGGGUCACCAUAAGUCGUAAUCAACUUGAAGGCACAUAGCAACAACAAUUGUUUUAAAUAUGUUUUUAAUAGAAUUGCUUUACCACUUUGCUCUUGGCUGCCUCAGACUUCUGUGGGAAUAAUAACAAUAUCAACAACAGCGAUAAUAAUUGCAUUUUAAUGCACUCACGUCUCUCGCAUAUGUAUUUCUGUACAUUACUUGGCUGGAGAAUUGCGCUGCAAAAUCCAAAGGAGUGCAAAUUUAGAACGAUGACUGUGUCUCCAUUUGUGUAUUGUUUCGGCAAGCACAACUCAGGAAGGGUUUGCCUCUAAAGGUGAACUCUACCAUAUUUCUCCCCCAUCCCUAGGCAUGGAGAGGGUUUUUUUUUUUGGUCAAGGGAGCAACAAGCAAGGGACAUAUUUCUACAAUGUGGUAGGGAGACAUGAUACGACUGGACAGUGGUCUGAAUAUGAGAAACAAAGGAGAGAGAGAGAGGAGUCAGAGAUAAAGCCAAGGCUAUGGGCCUGUUCAACUGGGCGGAUGGUAACAUCAUCAAUGGAUAAGGAAUUUCCCUUGUGUGAAAAUCCUCCUCCUCCCCCACCCCAAUUUAGAAAACAAGGUUACAUCUGUGCAAUCUGCUCUGUCAGGAGGCACCUCUUUAUUCUCUGAGCAAAUGACAUGUGCGCUAAUGCUGGGUGUUAGCAGAGUCCUUUCCUUCCUUUCUUCUUUAAAAGGCAUCACCCCACCUGGCCUAAUUAAGACCACAGAGCUUGCCCUCCGCCUUGCCCAACAACUGCUGGGUAGUGAAAGAUUUCCAGGGAAUUGGCAGAUACCUGAUACACGGCUGAGCAGUCCCGUUCAAAGGCUAUAUUUGAUCCGCACUUUCUCUUUUCUUUCCUGCUACAGGCCCACCUGUUCACUGCCGCUCUUUCCACCAGGUUCAUCCUCCCGAAAAGAAUCUUAUUAAUCUUGCAAGGGAGUUCAGGUUACGCGGGAGCUAUGUGUGGCAAAAGUCGGGUCUCUCUCCUUGGCUGAAGACGGCGGCCUGGGAUUGUUUGGUUAAGGUUUGAAGUCUCCAGACUAGAUUUGUCGGGAUGAGACAGUAGCAGAUGAGAGGGGGAAAGAAAGCAACAGGGGUUGGGAACAGAGAUAAAUAUUUGUGCGUUUGUGUGUGUGUGUGUGUGAGAGAGAGAGUAUACAUGACAGAGAAAAUAGUCCAUCAUUUCUGCUCCUAGCCUUGUGGAUAAUUGGAAGGCCAGGAGGAUAUUACCCUCCGAUAAUUUUCUGCUUCCCUGCACUGCUACGAGCAGGCAGAGCUUGGAAAAGUUACUUUUUUGAACUACAACUCCCAUCAGUCCAAUCCAGUGGCCAUGCUGGCUGGGGCUGAUGGGAGAUGUAGUUCAAAAAAAGUAACUUUUCCAAGCUCUGCAUGCAGGACCUAUUUUACAAUAUACAUUGAAAGCACUAUUAUACCACAUUAAAGAGUCAUGGCUGCCCCCAAACAAUCCUGGGAACUGUCAUUUGUUAAGAGUGCUAAGAGCUGGAGUUACAGUUCUCUGAGUUCCCUGGGAACACAGAUUGACCGAUAAGCCACUCUGGCAAUUUUGGUCUGAAGACACAUGAAGUUACUGUGACAGUGAUGCAAGUUUUGCCACACACUCAGCCUGGAAGGCAGAUAGCCCGAGAGGUGAAUGUGUGAUAUGAUGAACAAUUUGUACCCCAUGUGCGCUAUACAUUUAAAGCAGUAUCAUACCACUUUAAACAGUCAUGGUUUCCCCCCAAAGAAUCCUGGGAACUGUUGUUUGUUAAGGGUACUGAGAGUUGUUGGGACACCCCGAUUCUCCUCUCCAGGGUUUCAGGCAGGGGACAUUUCCAGCCCUACCUGAAGAUUCUGGGGAUCGAACCUGGGGUCUUCUGCAUCACCUUCCCUUAUUGGGUUCCAUUGGUGAACUGCUCUUACCAUCAAGACAUUUCUUCUUAUCUUCAUCUGAAAUCUGCCUCCUGUAUUUUAAGCCCAUUAGAUUUUAUUUAUUUAUUUAUUUAUUUAUUGCAUUUGUAUACCGCCCCAUAGCCGAAGCUCUCUGAGCGGUUUACAACAAUUGAAAACAUUAAAAACAAGCAUACAAAUUUAAAAGCACAUUUUUAAAAAGCAAUUUAAAAACACAUGCUAAAAUGCCUGGGAGAAGAGGAAAGUCUUGACCUGGCCCCGAAAAGGUAACAGUGUUGGCACCAGGCGCACCUCGUCAAGGAAAUCACUCCAUAAGUUGGGGGCCACCACUGAGAAGGCCCUCUCCCUUGUUGCCAUCCUACGAGCUUCCCUUGGAGUAGGCACCCGGAGGAGGGCUUUUGAUGUUGAGUGUAGUGUACAGGUGGGUUCGUGUCAGGAGAGGCGUUCCAUCAGGUAUUGAUGCAGUCCGGCCCCUUUGGGGCUGCAGAGAGUAAGCUUUUGCUCCUCUACGGUCCUUGAGGAAGGACCGUUGCUCAGUCCUUGUUCAGCCCCUGGUGUCUCCACAUGGGGCUGGGGAAGAUGCUUGGGUGAAACCCUGGAAAGCUGCUGCCAGUCAGAGUAGACAACGCUGAGGCCGAUUGUCCAAUGGUCUGACUCAGUACAAGGCAGAUUCCCAUGUUCCUAUGUGACAUCCUUUGGAUAUUUGAAGAGUGUUAUCAGGUGUCCCCCCUUCAGACGAAACAUACCAGUUCCUUCAACUUUUUGCUGCUAAGAAUGGAGUGACACUUUUCUCCAGCAAACAUGUGCGUUCUCAGACAUUUGUUUUGUUUAUACCAGGGUGGCCAUUUGCAGGGGACUCAGUGGGAGGGAAGAGGACAGUUCACCUUUCCCAUACCAGCAGGUUCUCACCCUCAAAUCCGCUAGGCUGACGUCUGCUUUCAAAGUCUGGCUGGCAUAAGAACAAGCUUAAAAACAACCAGAGGACCUUUGUGGGAGAGAAUUGACAGGUGUGGGAAAGAUUAAGCAAGCUCUCCUCCUGCCUCCUGCCUUUCCCUUGGAAACACACAGUUAGGAACCCUUGAUUUUUGUGCUCGUAAAUGGCAUGGCAAGUUUGUCCUAGUUAGGUUCUACACUUGCCAAAAGUCAUCUAAUUGUAUCUUGCAGCACACCAAGCAGGAGUGAGCACCUGCUUUGGAGGAAGCCCAAGUCCUAAUCCAAAGCAGGCCACUUUAGAGGUAUGUGGGCCUCCUCUGCAGAAAACCUAGUCUUGUCCAAAGGGAAGCAGGCUGCUCCUGAAGCUUCAGACAGUCUAUGAAAAACUGUUUUUACAGGGUAUUUUUACAAUUUUUUUGACCCACUGAUGUGUUUCUGGGCCUCUCCCAAGCUCUCCAUAAAAGGAAAAUAGCAGGCACGAGGGGCGGUAGGAGAUGGGGACAUAGCUUUAUGACUGACAGCUGCAGCUUCCAAUGGUGGAAUGUCUUAACCUGAGCUUUCCAUUCACAAUGCUUUGGGGGGGACGGACAUUGAAGUAACAUAUCAGAACUGGUUCCAUGUUUUCAGUGCUUCAUCCUCUCCUAGGAGCAUCAGUGUUGAAAGAGUUAGAGAGCUGUUGGUUUUGCUUGCUUGAUCUUUUUAUUCCAAUCCAGAUCAAUCAUUUCCUAAAAUCCAAUCUCUUACAUCCUAUUUAGGGAUGGAAAGAUCUUUUAAUUUUACUCCUCUCGGUUUCUAAA